GUGGGGAAUAUUGGACAAUGGGCGCAAGCCUGAUCCAGCGACGCCGCGUGAGUGAUGAAGGCCUUCGGGUUGUAAAGCUCUGUGGGGAGGGACGAAAACGCUGCGGGCGAAUAGGCCGCGGCCUUGACGGUACCUCCUUAGCAAGCACCGGCUAACUCUGUGCCAGCAGCCGCGGUAAGACAGAGGGUGCAAACGUUGCUCGGAAUUACUGGGCGUAAAGCGCGUGUAGGCGGACUGAAAAGUCAGGUGUGAAAUCCCUGGGCUCAACCCGGGAACUGCACUUGAAACUGCCAGCCUUGAGUGUCGGAGAGGGAAGCGGAAUUCCUGGUGUAGAGGUGAAAUUCGUAGAUAUCAGGAGGAACACCGGUGGCGAAGGCGGCUUCCUGGAAGAUAACUGACGCUGAGACGCGAAAGCGUGGGGAGCAAACAGGAUUAGAAACCCGAGUAGUCC
Molecule: ribosomal RNA, 451 nt
Filed under: uncultured bacterium
Lineage: Bacteria
Description: bacterial SSU rRNA
Rfam family: Bacterial small subunit ribosomal RNA
Source: RNAcentral